GAUACAUAACGACGUCGGCGAAGUAAAAAAUGUUUCCUAUGAAACUCCACUAUGUAUUUCAAAAAUUUUUUAAAUUAGUCCUAGUGCAAGGUUUUGACAAUCACUUUACAAACAAAUGUCUUUUUUAAUAAAAUUGCGUUUGUAAAAUCUAUCUGCCACUGUAACUGCAGCAUUGCGCACAGCAAUCGUGGACACGUAAAAAUCGAUCAAUCAAAUCUUAUCGAUGUUUUACUCAUAUAUACGCUUACGCCAGCAGUAUGGUAUCAUGUAUUACGAAAAGGUAACGUACUAUUUUUAAGUUCCAUUUUUACUGAUCAUGAUGCGAGAAUUCUUGCAACAUGAUCCGUAAUCAAGAUAGAACCGCUUGGACCCUUUUAAGUACUUAUAACACCUUCAUCCUUUUUUGACUAUAUCCAUUUUAUAAGCUUAUACGUUUUGGUGCAACAGAGGGCAGGUCAUGCCACGGACUUAAGCUGGAGGUUGGCAAUAUCCUUAAAAAAAGCAUAACAAUAUUUUUUUCAAGAUGAGAUCAAUUGCUGAGUUCCAAUCCGAAGCUCCACCAACAAUAAUUUGCUUAUCCGGCGCCAUUGCAGUGCAUAUUCUUUCCUUCUCAUUCCGUGUGUGCGGUCUCACUGAAGCAAGUUGUAGAGAAUUGUGAGUUUUGUAUGUAAAAAAGUCGCUGAAGCGGUAUCCCCCUCUGUGUAAGUAGGCUAUUACCAAAGAAGCUGAAUCAAAAAAAGCUGAGAAACGGAAUACCAUGUGAAAAAUUGGUUUUAUAGCAAUGAAAACACUUUCUAAAAGUGGACUUUCAAAAAAAUUGGACAUAUUCAAUAAGUGCCAAAUAGGUUAAGAAUAGUCUUGUACUAUUCAAACGGAAUUUUUACGACCUUUCCGUUAAUGACAAAAUGUACUUGAAGUAAGUUAAAAUUAAGAGUAUAUUUAACUUUUGUUUCGUAAAAAUUCUUAUGCCGACUAGUAUACUUAACAUUUCUUGUGCUUUUACGCCUUUAACCCUUUAGUUGUUUGUCAAAUUCCUUGCAAAAAAAUCAAAUUCAGAAAUUUCGGUAAAGAAUAAAUCGGCAUCGAAACUGAGAGACUUGAGUGCGAGAAAGGAAACGCUUUAAAUUUUGUUAAUUUAUCUUUUUUUACCGCCACUCACAUAAAAAUUUUUUUAGAUUACAUUUUCCUUUUAAUAAUUUAGUAAUUUAGGUUACUACAAUUGACUUACUUGGGCAUAUUUUUAUACCCGUUACUCUUAGAGUGAAAGGUAAAGUAUGUAACAGGUAGAAGGGAGCGAUUCCUUGAUCAGGGGAUCACUAGCCGAGUCGAUCUAGUCAUCUCCGUCUGUUUCUAUGAACGCUAUGAUCUUGGAAACUAUAAGAGCUAGAAUGUUGGGACUUGGCAUGCAGAGCGAGUUUGUUUCAGCAGGGUGCCAUGGCCAUGCCAAAAAUGAUUGAAAUCGGAAAAAAGUUAUAACCAAACAAUAAUUAAUAAUGGAUGAAGGUUUUACGUUACGUGGCGUUUUAGUGAUAUCUUGUAAACAGCCGCUAGGAAUGAACGAUAGGUGGCGCUUUUUUUUUAGCUGUGUAACACGUACCUGAGUUUCACUAGUCAAAAAUCACAUUCAUAAUCAUACUCAUAGUUCAGUCGUUUAAGAUUGAACUCCAAUACCUUAAAAUUGUUUGAUAACUUGAAGAUGCUAUCACCGCUCUCGUGCUCUUGCCCAGGUAGGGCUGGCUACACCUUCCACACGGGGUUGAGUGGGAUAGGCACGGUCCGCACUGCACUACUACUACUACAUACAAAGUUAAGCUACUCUAGUGCAGACAGCAACUAAGAAAUUAUUAAAUGUAUAUUAACUUCUGUACAUAUUAUUAUUAUUUGGAAAUCCAAAGUCUAUAUAGCCCAGGACCGUAUCACUCAAAAACAUAUGCAAGAAAUGUAUACAUAAAACUUAACCAAAAAAGACUAAAAAAAUAAGCAUACAAUCCAACAAGGCACUUGUUCUGAAACAGUUAUAGUUCCUUUUAAAAACACUACCAUAAAAAAAAAUUUGAUACGAAAAACGACUUUGUAAAUAGACUUUUUAACAUGUUUCUAUUUGGCCCACUGCAUUGCAAAAUCUGACCAUCUUUUCGUGCAUCAUGCCGAAACAUCCUUAAAACGGUUUUUAUUUAAUCGAAUGUAUAAGAAAUUAUUUUCAGAAAUGUGA
Molecule: long non-coding RNA, 2212 nt
Organism: Drosophila suzukii
Lineage: Eukaryota; Metazoa; Arthropoda; Insecta; Diptera; Drosophilidae
Source: RefSeq, a predicted model, not a curated record